UUUCCUGAGCACCUCCUCUGUGCCAAGUCCUGGGCUCCGGUGUCUCCCUGAAUCCUCACGAACAGAAGCCCUGCAAGAUGACACUUACCUUCCCUCUUCCAUAGGUGAGAGAACCGAGACGAGGAGUCUAGUAACUUGCCCGAAGCCCUACAGUUUGCAUGUGCAGAAGUCAAAUGAGAGUCCAGGGCUGGGAAAAGCAGCUGCUAAACCAAGGCCUGCUAAACCUGACCUGGGAAACAUCCAUCCAAGAUGCCUCUGAUCAGCGGGUCAGGCCGCAAAAGCCUCAGGACCCAGAGGACUCCGUGCCAACCUGUGAGGAUGGCAAAGAGGGACUUGAACCUCCAGAGCGGGAGGCAGCUGUCAGGAUGCAGGGCCUGCUCUCUUCCUACGUGACGGCUCGGGCCUCUGCAACUGGACCCUGAUUCCUUCAAAGACCAUCCAAAGGAGAGCAUUCCCAGCACAGCUCCCACUUGCUUGAGCAGAUAAACCCAUAUGUUCUCUCCCUUUCCCACCGCAAACCUGGGGAAGUGACGCAAGCGGCUACAGGCACCCCCGCCUUCCAGGACUGACGCAGAAGAAAGCAACCCGGACCUCACCAAGCUAAGGCCUGGCCUCUGGGAGGAACCCUGUCGUGGAUGCCAGGGGCCCGUGUGUGUGUGGCCACUACCACAAAUCUCACACCCAUGGAAUGUCAGCACCCAGGUCUGGGAAGGCUGCUGCCCACACCAAAGCUGACACACAAGUUCUGACCCGCGGAUGGAAUGAACCACCUCCCACAGUUGGAUACCAGCCAACCAGCAGGCCACUAGGGCUCACUGAUCUUUUUCCCUUCCAAGAGGUAGUACAGAAUUUAGACCAGUGUUUCUGACCCUCACCUGCAUCAUGGAAUCAUCUGGGGAUCUUUGAAAACAUUGACAGCUGGGCUCUACCUCCACCCCCUACCCCUCACCCCACCCCCGGGCAUUCUGAUUUAAUUCGUCUGGAGUGCAGCCUGGAAUAGGGAUUUUUAACACCCCCACCCCCACCCCGGGGACUGUAGUAUGCACCAAAAUUUAAGAACCACUGGUAGAUCUCUCAUAGUAAUUCCUGCCAUCAGGAGACCCCAUCCAGCUGCAAGGAGUCAACACUUAGGUGUCCAUGGAGAUCCAGUGACCCAGAGCUUUAUCUAAAAGGCAGUGUCCACUGUGUGAACAACAUCGGUAAUACAAUCGUUUUUAGAGGGUAGGGCAAAGACCUCAAUUUCUAUUCACCCACCAGUUUCUCAGGUCUUCAGAAAUGAAAGACUUGCCUUGGUCCCCGGUAAGAAGCUAGAGACCAGACAGAGCUUUGUCUCCUGGGGCAGCCCAAGACAGAGAUGGAAUUAGGGAAAUCUGUUAUGAUUUAGCAAACCUAGGCACUGGCCUGUGAGGUGUGUCUCCUGGGGAGUUUACACAGCUCAGAGCAUCUGACAUGGGAUUCGUCUGCUCUGAUUAAGCCCCUGGUGCUGGUGGCAGAUGGUUUCGCAGUUCCCAGCGCAGCCAACAUGCCCAGGGCCCUGCUGAAAAACAGGUUUGUGCUCAUAGUGCCCUAAGCCGUGGUGAAGGGCUGUCUCCCCUCUACCUCUCAAGGUUAGUGGGGUACAGCCAAGUGAAGAGGCUGCCUGCUAGGGGUCAGGGCAGAAUUGUCCCCCCGAGAGAGCGAUUCUCAAACUUUUCCACUAAAAUACCUUUAAUGUGAUUGUUCUGUAAACCCACAACUUUCCUAAUAAACAACAAAAAAAUUAAAAUCUGUUUAAGCACAAACCAAAAAUACCUUUAACAACAAAAUAAAGAGGCCCAUCCUCAUGUGGUCUGGGGCCUAUC
Choloepus didactylus (southern two-toed sloth) is the source of this 1841-nucleotide long non-coding RNA. RefSeq lists it as uncharacterized. The transcript is spliced from 3 exons. The record is from RefSeq and is a predicted model, not a curated record. Lineage: Eukaryota; Metazoa; Chordata; Mammalia; Pilosa; Megalonychidae.